Molecule: long non-coding RNA, 3796 nt
Organism: Cebus imitator (Panamanian white-faced capuchin)
Lineage: Eukaryota; Metazoa; Chordata; Mammalia; Primates; Cebidae
Exons: 4
Source: RefSeq, a predicted model, not a curated record
ACACCUUUGCACUCCAGCCUGGGCACCAGAGUGAGACUCUGUCAAAAAAAAGAAAACUGCAAAGCUCCACUUUUUAACCCCGGUGAAAGCCAGAAUCAAACUGACUUUUCAAAGGAGAAACCCUUCAGGCUGAAUUUUCUUCCACUUCUUCCAAGUCCAACUAUAUCUCAUAUUGAAAGAUAAUCUCCAUGGAGGAGCCCCCAUCCGGCCCAAAGGUUUCUCAUACUCAGUUUUUGAGCGACACCUGCUGGCCAUAGCAGGUACUAUGUCCUCCUGCGGCUAAACAGCUAUGCGGAGGAAGCUUACCCAUCUCCUUAGACAUUCGCAGCCACGCUGCAGGUCAGUGUUCUAGUCCCACUUCUACAGAUCAAAAAGGUGAGACUUGGUCCUCUCAGCUCAUGAGAGGCGCAGUGAAUCUCUCACUCCAGGUUCUUGGCUCCAUCUCAUCCCUACUUCUUGCUCUUAGGCUGGAUGGAGUGGUGAGUCCUCCACCUGGGAGAAGGACAAGUCCCCACCCCCCAAAUCAUCCUGAAGUAGGCACUAGGAUUAGGGGCAAGGUCAGGGUUGAAGCCAGGACAGGUCAGGUUGUCCCUGUGUCAACAGCCCCAACAGGCAGCCCACCACAUCCAAUUGUUCCCCAUCUGCAGAACAACCAGAUGGAUGGUCGGGGCUUCGGCGCUCCAAAUUCACUCUGAGGAGGCAGAGAGAUGCCAUUUGGCCAGGCUGUGUGGUAAGGAGCUGGGCACAGGCUGCCCCCUGAGCCUGUUGCCUCCGUGCCCACUGUGUGGGGCCGUGGCUAGCCUGAAAUCCCAUGCAUGGCUUGGGGGCAGUGGCUGCACCUUGCCAAGGAAACAUUCAGUCAGGAGGUGAAACGUAUUGUGAUUGAGAACGAGAAUCUGGCCUCAUCCUUGAGAGAUGCACACAGACUGAUCAAUGGAUGAAAUUACAUAACACAUGAAAUUUGCUUCAGAAAAAUUCAUGGUGAUGGGAGCAGGGGGCACGGAUGAAUCAAAACUGGCUGCAAGUCAACUAUUGUAUCAUCUGGGAAAUAAGGGCAUAGCGAUUAGUUAUACUAUUCUCCCUACUUUUGUAUAUGUUUGAGAUUCUCCAUGUUCAAACUUUCUAAAAAAUGUAACAGCAGAGACACUACCACCACCAAAGUCAAUACAAAGAAUGAUGACUCAAAAUUAGACUGCCUUGAGCAUCUGAUGUGGUAUGAAUUGGAUAAGUUAGUUAAUUCCUCUGUGCCUCAGUUUCAUUGCCUUUAAAAUGGGGAUGGUAAUAAUCAUACCAGUCUUAUAGCGUUGUUUUGAGAUUCUGCAUCUGGAGUAAUUAGCACAGUGCUGGCCCCACAGCAAGCUCUGAAUUAUAAUCAUUGUUAUUAGUAGGAGUCCAGGGCUCUGGUUAUAAUUUGCCAAAAGUAGAAGCUACUUUAGCUGAUGCAGACAAACAAUUCCUCAGCCCAGCUCAGUGUUCAGACCGAGGAGUCUUUGAGGACACAGCCCUGAACUGCCGAGUGCCGGGCGUGUCUCAGAUGGGUAGACACACACCAGAGUCAGGCUUUCCUUAGACCCUGUAGGGAGGCCUUCUCCCUGCCUCUCUGCAUAUCCUUCCCAUUGCUCAUGCCCAACUCACAACCACUUGGUUUUUACUGACCACUCCUUUCUCUGAGUUUAAGCAGCUCUCUUCACAGAUGCAUCGAACCUCUGCCCUAGGUGAGACUGUAAAGGUCAUCAAACCCAGCCACAUCAUCAUAGCUUCAUUCAACAGUCAUCAAAGACCUGCCUUAGGUGGUGAGGAUGGAGUGGUGAGCAAGACUCAAGACCUCUGAGGCAACGGGGGGAGCCCUGGUCAGAAUCCAGAGAACCUGGUCCCCAGCCGCAGUGUGACCCAAGGGAAGUUCCCGCAAUGGAUUCGGGUUUUGCAGGGCUGGAAGCUUAGACCAUUGAGGAGAACCUCUCUAAGGUAAACAAUACACAAUUAUGAUUACAAAAUUAGGUACAGAUAUGAUUAUUAAUUUAGAAUGAUAAAAAGAAAUUGCAACAAGUUGCAAAUCUUGAAAAAACUGACAAAUGCCAUCAUGAAAUCCGGACAGAUAACAUAAUAUUUGUAUUAACUAAAUGCCUGACACAACUCAAAAAUGCUUUCUAAAUUAAAAAAAAUUUUUUUUACAUUACUUCUGCUCACAGCUUUACACAGACUGGCUUCUGGCUCCAUGCAUUUCAAACCUUGUUUCUCCUGUGCUACACACAUCUCUGGUGCAGGCAUCUGAGGCCACAGUUAUGCUGAGGCACAACUUCUGGCUCUGCAGCUUCAUGUUGCAAAGCGUGAAAUGGACGAAGACGUAAAGCUUCUGGAACCUAAAAAUGCUGCCUACAGGGUCAUGAUGAUGACCCUGAAGAUCACAGUGACGUGGGUUGUGCAGGAACACCUUAAACUUCUUUGGUUUUAGGGGUCAGCACUCCUUCAGGGUCUAAUGUUCUGCCAAAAGCUUGCCCUUAGAGACCAGAAACUCUAAUAUGAGACCUUCCAAGCUUAAGGCUUUGAUCCCAGUUAAAUGACAUCUCUCUGGAAGGCAUGGCACGUGAGGCUGUAAUCAGUUUCCAUACCUUCCACCCCACCACUCCCCAGAGAGAAAUGUGACAAUGAGCUUUAGCUCCGUAGAAUCCGGACUUCAUGGAACCUCUCUGGGUUGGCUUCUCAAUCAAUUUCAGAGCUGUGAGCUGAAAAAAAAUAGCAAGAGAGAGGCCACAGUUAUUCAGGAGACUUCUGCUUUGCUGGGGGCUUCCACAGCCCCGACCAACCGUCCUGGGGUCACUGCUGAGACAGCAGCGUGAACAAGGGCACAGAGACCCCAGAGACUGCAUCUGAACGGUCGGAACCCCAGGGCUUUAAACCCUUUGCUCCAAUGAGCUUAGAGCCAUAAUAUGAUAAUCCAAAAUGAUGAGAGAGUAAGUGGCAAGUAUACCUAGACAUAUUCUGAGCCCAGCAGACAGAAUUUUGGUUUAAGGAGCACCUGGGUAGUUUAAUGACACAUGCUAUUUUUUCUAUAUAGGCAUCAUAGUCUAUGAAUUGUAACAAUUCAUCCUAUCUCAAGAAGAUGGAGGUAUUUUAGAUAUAUGUGUAUAUAUUUGAAAUCAAAACUGUUUAUUUUGUAUAAGUUUUUUUGUGUCUAUUAGUUUCUGAAUAUCUGUGUAUAAAAACUUCUGUUUCUUUGCCUGUAUACAUUCUUGGAUAUGCACAUAUACACCUAUGUGGGAUGGGUUGGGGUCAUGUGUGUAUUUGUUUGCAUUUACCUUGCUUUGGUCUUAGGAAGGGAUCUUGGUGAUCAUCCUAGCCCAACUCUUUCACCUCACUGGUGAAGAAACUGAAGUCCAGAAAGGCAAGGUGACUUGUCACAGGUCACACAGCCGGCUAUGGAGACAGAAAUGAACCAAGAACCUAGGAUUUCAAUUUGUAGAUGAGGACCCUUUCUGUAAUAUUAAAAUCAAUUGUAAACCUGGGGGAAGGAAGGAGGGAGAUCUUUUUUUUUUCCUCCCCCAAUCGAUACAUAAGUACUAAGAAGCUCAAUCUUGAAUUAGCUGUAGAAUAUCAAAAGUUAAGUUUUUCACACCAACCUGGUUCAGUAUUGAUUCCUUUUAUGAAAACUCUAUUUAUACUCAAGUUGUCAAAGAAUUCCAGAGGGCAUAUGAAGCUUUUGUUAAAAUAAUUAUAAGCCUUUGUUUUUGAAGAAAAGUAUCCAAAAUAUAUAAGCUUAUUGUUUGAGUUAAACAAUAAAAACAUCUGUUGUUUCUCA